Molecule: unclassified non-coding RNA, 2479 nt
Filed under: Octopus sinensis (East Asian common octopus)
Lineage: Eukaryota; Metazoa; Mollusca; Cephalopoda; Octopoda; Octopodidae
Description: uncharacterized LOC115221259, transcript variant X2
Source: RNAcentral
CAGGUUUUAAGAGAAUGCUGCAAGACUAGUCAGAAGGAAAACAAAUUCCGGAAUUUAUAUUUGAAAAACCAAAACUACAUAUAGUCUAAGAAUAUAUAUAUAUAUAUAUAUAUAUAAAAGUGUGGAAGUCUGAGUUUGGAAUCAUAUUGUGUUUGAAGUGAGGUUAGAACUGAAGCACAUUAAGAUUUUGAUUAAUACCAGAAAACACAACAAUGGAAGCUAUUGAGAGGCAAGCAGAAAAACAGAUUGAAAAUAAGAAUUAUAAAGAAGCGAUUAAGAAGUAUGAUACUCUGUUAACAAAUCCCAUCAUUGAUCCACAAUAUCUUUUCAAGCGUGCCAAAUGUAGUUAUCAUCUAAACAGUUUUCAAAACGCACAGGCAGAUGUUAAAGAAGCCAUCGCAAGUGGACUAACCACUACUCCCGUUUAUAUUUUGGCUGGUAAAAUAGCUGCCAAACAAGGAAAAUAUGAAGAAGCCCUCACUUAUUACAAGAACGUUCUUAAAACCGAACCUGGCAACCCUGAAGUAAUUGCAGACCUGAAAACGAUCCAGAAGGAAAUUCUUGAUGCCUAUGAAGCAAAUUCCAAAGAUGGUGAAGCAGAGGAAGAAAACUUGAGUCCAACGAAAUUCUGUACCCAGGACAUUUACCCAGGGGAUGAUCUUCUUCUGAAGAAUGAGAAAGAGAUUCUUGAAGUAAAUUAUAAGAUUGUAUCUGAAGCAAAUGAGCCUGAUGAUGAUCCCAGAUUAAGCUUUUUGCCUGCACAUAUGAAGAACCCAGCCAAAUUAGCAAUUCAGGGUCAGACUUGUCAAAUGCGAGGCCAGUUGGAAGAAGCGAUGCAGUUCUUUGAUAUGGCUAUCCUGUUGGAUAAAACAAAUCACAAUUUCCGUUUAUUUAAAGCCAGGCUUUGCUUUCAGAUGGAAAAAAACUUAGAAUCCUUACAACAGCUCUGGUUAAUACCUAAAACUUUAAGGAAUCAUGAAAUCUGGAAACUUGGAGGACUGAUUCUAAAAGAUUUAGAUCUGCCGGUUCUGGCCGAAUUCUGGAUUCGUAAGGCCACACAGUUUUCUAACAACGCUGACGAAGAGUGCAAGAUUGCUUUCCAGCAAAUUCGUGUCAAACGUCUCUACUCCCCACUUUGUCUAGACUACCCAGUAGAAGUAGUCUUUUCCCGCUACGGAAAAGCUGUUGUAGCUACGAGAGACAUCGAAGCGAAUGGCGUCAUCUUCAAGGACUGUCCAUUGGUCAUCGGGCAAACCACAGAUACCCACAAAACUUCUCCUACGUGUGAUAACUGUGGCUAUUCGCUGAUGGAGCCUGAGCAUUACUUUGGUGAUAAACUCAACACGAUGAAAGAGGAAUUAAAAGAGUUGAUUGAGUCCUACUGGCCGAAGAGGUUCUCGGUGGCUUGCGAGGACUGCUACCGUGAGAACUACUGCAGCAAAGCUUGUCGAACAGAAGCAAUUGAAGGUUACCACCGAGUGUUAUGCCCUAAGAACAAUCCAGCGGCCAAUCUGUUGUAUGAUGUUCGAGAUGGUGACGGCUUGGCAGUUAACCCGGAAACAAGGAUGCGAGAGGAGUACUGGGGUGGCCAUUUCAGCCCCAUGAUUAUUCCACGGAUGUAUGCUUCGAUGAUCAGCUAUGCCCAGAAACUGAUGGAGGAGGAAGGCCUCACUGAACCCUCGCUCUUACAUUGGUCUAUAUCUAAGGCCCCUUACAGAAGGUUUGUGGCUUUCGGAUCAUCGAAAGCCGUCCAGAAGAAUCCGCUGUUUUAUGAUUUGAUUAAAGACGUCUUCAGGUCCUACAAAAUCCCAUACGAAAUAACCAAGGCAGAUUUCGACGGUCGGUACAACCAAUCCACAUGUAAUCUGCAAGCGUUCGGCUCGUACACGACGCCUUACCACAAAUUCCUUGCCAAUCUCCAAGAGGCCGAAAUGGACUUGACUGUCGUAGCCAUGAUAAAGAUGCUCGAGAAAAAACCACCACAUGCAUCUCUGGCCAGUCUCUUCCCACUACAUGCAUGCACAAACCACUCUUGUGAUAACAACGCUGAUAUAUUAGACGGGGAGGUUCUUGGUCGGCCAGGGAUCUGGGUGAUGGCUCGGAGGCCCAUUAGCAAGGGAGAGGAGAUCCACAUCACCUACAUAGACACGGCGAUGCAACAGAAGUUACGCCGUGCUUGGCUCUACCGGUCUUUUCAUUUCUGGUGUCAAUGUCGGCGCUGCGAGUUCGAAGGGACCGACUCGGAUGUUUGCACCAAUUGUCAAAAGAAAGCACCGGAAGGUAAAAAGUUUGCCGUUUGCAGUCGAUGCAAAAAGGCCUGGUAUUGUUCGACGAAGUGUCAAAAAUUGUCAUGGAAGAACGGUCACAAGGCUAUCUGCGAAAAGGCUUGAACCAUUGAAAGGAAAGUAAUAGAACACACACAUGCACACACACACACACACACACACACACACACACACACACACACACACACACACAC